UCCAGACUCCUACGGGAGGCAGCAGUGAGGAAUAUUGGUCAAUGGGCGAGAGCCUGAACCAGCCAAGUCGCGUGAGGGAAGACGGUCCUAUGGAUUGUAAACCUCUUUUGCCGGGGAGCAAAAAGCGGUACGUGUACCGCAUCGAGAGUACCCGGAGAAAAAGCAUCGGCUAACUCCGUGCCAGCAGCCGCGGUAAUACGGAGGAUGCGAGCGUUAUCCGGAUUUAUUGGGUUUAAAGGGUGCGCAGGCGGUCUGUUAAGUCAGCGGUCAAAGCCCGGGGCUCAACCCCGGUCCGCCGUUGAAACUGGCGGUCUCGAGUUGGAGAGAAGUAUGCGGAAUGCGCGGUGUAGCGGUGAAAUGCAUAGAUAUCGCGCAGAACUCCGAUUGCGAAGGCAGCAUACCGGCGCUCAACUGACGCUCAUGCACGAAAGUGUGGGUAUCGAACAGGAUUAGAUACCCGAGUA
This 464-nucleotide ribosomal RNA is filed under the name uncultured bacterium. Its description in RNAcentral is "bacterial SSU rRNA". It matches the Rfam family "Bacterial small subunit ribosomal RNA", at positions 330 to 792 of the family's 1533-position model. The record is from RNAcentral.